This is a non-coding RNA of Tetracentron sinense, 72 nucleotides long. NCBI's taxonomy places the organism in Eukaryota, Viridiplantae, Streptophyta, Magnoliopsida, Trochodendrales, Trochodendraceae. The record is from the annotation of a GenBank genome assembly.
GGAGAGAUGGCUGAGUGGACUAAAGCAGCAGAUUACUAACUUGUAGCGAGGGUUCGAAUCCCUCUCUUUCUG